RNAcentral lists this ribosomal RNA (497 nucleotides) under uncultured bacterium. RNAcentral's name for it is "partial 16S ribosomal RNA". It matches the Rfam family "Bacterial small subunit ribosomal RNA", at positions 28 to 507 of the family's 1533-position model. The record is from RNAcentral.
GAUGAACGCUGGCGGCGUGCCUAAUACAUGCCAGUCGAGCGAACGGACGAGAAGCUUGCUUCUCUGAUGUUAGCGGCAGACGGGUGAGUAACACGUGGAUAACCUACCUAUAAGACUGGGAUAACUUCGGGAAACCGGAGCUAAUACCGGAUAAUAUUUUGAACCGCAUGGUUCAAAAGUGAAAGACGGUCUUGCUGUCACUUAUAGAUGGAUCCGCGCUGCAUUAGCUAGUUGGUAAGGUAACGGCUUACCAAGGCAACGAUGCAUAGCCGACCUGAGAGGGUGAUCGGCCACACUGGAACUGAGACACGGUCCAGACUCCUACGGGAGGCAGCAGUAGGGAAUCUUCCGCAAUGGGCGAAAGCCUGACGGAGCAACGCCGCGUGAGUGAUGAAGGUCUUCGGAUCGUAAAACUCUGUUAUUAGGGAAGAACAUAUGUGUAAGUAACUGUGCACAUCUUGACGGUACCUAAUCAGAAAGCCACGGCUAACUACGUG